This 4971-nucleotide small RNA is filed under the name Pongo abelii (Sumatran orangutan). Its description in RNAcentral is "retained intron". The record is from RNAcentral. Lineage: Eukaryota; Metazoa; Chordata; Mammalia; Primates; Hominidae.
CGUGCUUCUGCUGCGAGGCCGCUGCAUCGUAGACGAGGCCAUGCUCACAGGGGAGUCUGUGCCACAGAUGAAGGAGCCCAUCGAAGACCUCAACCCAGACCGGGUGCUGGACCUCCAGGCUGACUCCCGGCUACACGUCAUCUUCGGGGGCACCAAAGUGGUGCAGCACAUCCCCCCACAGAAAGCCACCACAGGCCUGAAGCCGGUUGACAGCGGGUGUGUGGCCUACGUCCUGCGGACUGGAUUCAACACAUCCCAGGGCAAGCUGCUGCGCACCAUCCUCUUCGGGGUCAAGAGGGUGACUGCGAACAACCUGGAGACCUUCAUCUUCAUCCUCUUCCUCCUGGUGUUUGCCAUCGCUGCAGCCGCCUAUGUAUGGAUUGAAGGUAAACGCCACGGCCUCUGUGGUCCCCUGCGCCCGCCCUCCGAGGCUCCAGGCUGGCAGGCCCUGUCUCCACAGGUACCAAGGACCCCAGCCGGAACCGCUACAAGCUGUUUCUGGAGUGCACCCUGAUCCUCACCUCGGUCGUGCCUCCUGAGCUGCCCAUCGAGCUGUCCCUGGCCGUCAACACCUCCCUCAUUGCCCUGGCCAAGCUCUGUGAGUGUGUCAAAUGGGGUAGGGUGCCAAGUGGGCUGGGGCCAAGCAGGACCCCUGACCUCACUCCCGCCCCUAGACAUGUACUGCACAGAGCCCUUCCGGAUCCCCUUUGCUGGCAAGGUCGAGGUGUGCUGCUUUGACAAGACGGGGACCUUGACCAGUGACAGCCUGGUGGUGCGCGGUGUGGCCGGGCUGAGAGACGGGAAGGAGGUGACCCCAGUGUCCAGCAUCCCUGUAGAAACACACCGGGCCCUGGCCUCGUGCCACUCGCUCAUGCAGCUGGACGACGGCACCCUCGUGGGUGAUCCUCUAGAGAAGGCCAUGCUGACGGCCGUGGACUGGACGCUGACCAAAGUGCCCUGAAGCGAAUGUCCGUGCUUGCCUCGUAUGAGAAGCUGGGCUCCACCGACCUCUGCUACAUCGCGGCCGUGAAGGGGGCCCCCGAAACCCUGCACUCCAUGGUGAGCUGGCCCCAGCCUGGGGCAAGGGGUAGGGGUGCGGGGCAGCCCGUGACAUCCCCCUGCAUUCCCUGCAGUUCUCCCAGUGCCCGCCCGACUACCACCACAUCCACACCGAGAUCUCCCGGGAAGGAGCCCGCGUCCUUGCGCUGGGGUACAAGGAGCUGGGACACCUCACUCACCAGCAGGCCCGGGAGGUCAAGCGGGAGGCCCUGGAGUGCAGCCUCAAGUUCGUCGGCUUCAUUGUGGUCUCCUGCCCGCUCAAGGCCGACUCCAAGGCCGUGAUCCGGGAGAUCCAGAAUGCGUCCCACCGGGUGGUCAUGAUCACGGGAGACAACCCGCUCACUGCAUGCCACGUGGCCCAGGAGCUGCACUUCAUUGAAAAGGCCCACACGCUGAUCCUGCAGCCUCCCUCUGAGAAAGGUGAGGCCCUAGCCCGGCCCACAGUGGGGAAGGGGGACCCUGAGUCCAAGAACAGCUCCCAUCGCAACAGCCCACCUGUGUGCCAGGCCUCAGCAGCAGAGUGUCUUCAAAUGCCUGGCACCACGUUGGCACCACUAAUCACAGCCCUGGCCCACUGGGCACCUCGGACAGCAUGUGAGCGUUCACUGGGUCACAGGUCCCAGGAUGUGCGGCAUGUAGGUGUUUAUUUACCAUAAUUAGGCGAUAGUCUGACUGCCAGCUCUGGUUUCCUGUGCACUCAUGGGCAGAUACUGCUCCUACCACGCUUACUCCCCAUCCUCAGCGUCAUCCUCAUUUCACACCCUCUUUGGCCUGGCAAGCUGCCCAUGUACCGAGUGCUCCCUUCCCGAGCACAGGGACUGCUGGCAUCCUCAGCCACAGUUGAUGGCACAGUUUGCCCAGUGCUCAGCCUGACCAGACCCCAGGCGGAGCACUCUAUGCGUGGUACUGCGUUGGUUCCUCCACCCCAUCCUGCACCACAGGGGGUGGCUUGCCUUCCCCACACCACAGAGGAGGAAGCUGGCUGGGUCAGCUCUCGGGGCCCCUGCUUUGUAGAGAAGGGACAGAGGCUCAGAAGUGAACCCACUUGCCCAGGUCACUUGAUGUCCCCAUGGCUAAGGAUUGGAAUCCAGACAGCCUGACUCUAGAGCUCAAGGCUCCAACCUCUCCCCGGUGACCUCUUUGAGCAAUGCCCUGGAUUCAGAUUGAUGAAGAGGCAGACAUAGAGACCCAGCCCCUCCCAGCUAGAGGUGUGGGGCUUACCAGAUACCUGCCCCAGGGCUAGAGGUGAAGCCCCCGUGGGCACAUGCAGUUCAGGAACUGCAUGAGUGUUGACAGGGCCCUAAGAAGAACCACAUGGAGCAGUGUUGCCACAGGGCUGCUGGCAGCAAACAUUCACAGGUCUGGGCCAGAGCAGCUUCCAGAACCUCCAGGCCACCUCUCAGAGGACUUGGUCCCUGCCCUCCCUCUGUUCUGUUGGUCCCAGGCCUCCCCCUGUCCCAGCCCCAGCUACCGGGGUCUUCCAGGGCCUGGGGAUUGUGGGCAGGUGGCAUGGAGCAGAUGAACAGGACUGUUGACAAGCGAAGCUGGUCUAGCAACAGCUGCAGCACAAGCCAGGUGGAGGUGUGCUGUCCUUCAGCUUGAGAUGGUCCAGGGUGAGCAGGCCAGUGCCAGGAGGGCUGGUGGGCCGCCCUUGGCCAUCCUCAGUGCCCAGCAUCCAACCCAGGGCCAGCCAGCAAGAAAGGGGGGAAGUGGAGCAAGAAGACGUUGAGAACUCAGGGGUCCUGUCAGAGUGGGGAGGGGGCCCAGCCCUGAGAAAACAGGAUUUCAGAGAGGCCAAGGGCGCAGGGAUAAAUGAGGUGAGGGCCUGGUGUGGGGUUUCCCAAGGAGAGUGCAAUAGCCUCCUUCUGUGUGUUUCAGGUUGGGGGGCCUUGCAUGAGGUGGGGGCAUGGCUUAGCUGGGGUCAGACUGCCCAGGUUCUAAUCUGGCUGUGUCCCAUGCUCUCAGGCAAGUAGCUCAGGCCCCAGGCUCUUGGUUCCACCCUGCACACCUGAGGGACAUUCUUUCUGGAGUCCCCAGAGAAGGGCUGGGGGUCACCUGGGUGGGUAGGGAGGUGCGGGCUCCAGAGAGGAGAGACUGGCCGGUGCUGGGGUCCGAGUGGAGGGAGGGUGCUUCUGAGCCCGGGCAGCCAAUCCCCCAGCCCUAACCCUAGGUGCUGCCCGCAGGCCGGCAGUGCAAGUGGCGCUCCAUUGACGGCAGCAUCGUGCUGCCCCUGGCCCGGGGUUCCCCAAAGGCACUGGCCCUGGAGUACGCACUGUGCCUCACAGGCGACGGCUUGGCCCACCUGCAGGCCACCGACCCCCAGCAGCUGCUCCGUCUCAUCCCCCACGUGCAGGUGUUUGCCCGUGUGGCCCCCAAGCAGAAGGUAUGUGCACAGCCCUAGGGGUCAGGGGUACAGACGUAGGCACGCAGCCCCUGCUCAGCCUGUCUCCGCCCACACAGGAGUUUGUCAUCACCAGCCUGAAGGAGCUGGGCUACGUGACCCUCAUGUGUGGGGAUGGCACCAACGACGUGGGCGCCCUGAAGCACGCUGAUGUGGGUGUGGCGCUCUUGGCCAACGCCCCUGAGCGGGUUGUUGAUCGGCGACGGCGGCCCCGGGACAGCCCAACCCUGAGCAACAGUGGCAUCAGAGCCACCUCCAGGACAGCCAAGCAGCGGUCGGGGCUCCCUCCCUCUGAGGAGCAGCCAACCUCCCAGAGGGUGAGUCCCAAGAGGGGAGGUGCUGCACCCCAUCCUGGCCAGGGCUAACAGCCUGCUGCCUACCCUGCAGGACCGCCUGAGCCAGGUGCUGCGAGACCUCGAGGACGAGAGCACGCCCAUUGUGAAACUGGGGGAUGCCAGCAUCGCAGCACCCUUCACCUCCAAGCUCUCGUCCAUCCAGUGCAUCUGCCACGUGAUCAAGCAGGGCCGCUGCACGCUGGUGACCACGCUACAGAUGUUCAAGAUCCUGGCGCUCAAUGCCCUCAUCCUGGCCUACAGCCAGAGCGUCCUCUACCUGGAGGGGGUCAAGUUCAGUGACUUCCAGGCCACCCUACAGGGGCUGCUGCUGGCCGGCUGCUUCCUCUUCAUCUCCCGUUCCAAGCCCCUCAAGACCCUCUCCCGAGAACGGCCCCUGCCCAACAUCUUCAACCUGUACACCAUCCUCACUGUCAUGCUCCAGUUCUUUGUGCACUUCCUGAGCCUUGUCUACCUGUACCGUGAGGCCCAGGCCCGGAGCCCCGAGAAGCAGGAGCAGUUCGUGGACUUGUACAAGGAGUUUGAGCCAAGCCUGGUCAACAGCACCGUCUACAUCAUGGCCAUGGCCAUGCAGAUGGCCACCUUCGCCAUCAACUACAAAGUAAGGCCUGGGACCCGCCUGAACAUCCCCUGUCUGCCCACCCAGCCCCACCCCAUGUAGCCAUCUGUCCCUCAUCCCCACAGGGCCCGCCCUUCAUGGAGAGCCUGCCCGAGAACAAGCCCCUGGUGUGGAGUCUGGCAGUUUCACUCCUGGCCAUCAUUGGCCUGCUCCUCGGCUCCUCGCCCGACUUCAACAGCCAGUUUGGCCUCGUGGACAUCCCUGUGGAGUUCAAGCUGGUCAUCGCCCAGGUCCUGCUCCUGGACUUCUGCCUGGCGCUCCUGGCCGACCGCGUCCUGCAGUUCUUCCUGGGGACCCCGAAGCUGAAAGUGCCUUCCUGAGAUGGCAGUGCUGGUACCCACUGCCCACCCUGGCUGCCGCUGGGCGGGAACCCCACCAGGGCCCCGGGAGGGAACCCUGCCCCCAACCCCCCACAGCAAGGCUGUACAGUCUCGCCCUUGGAAGACUGAGCUGGGACCCCCACAGCCAUCCGCUGGCUUGGCCAGCAGAACCAGCCCCAAGCCAGCACCUUUGGUAAAUAAAGCAGCAUCUGAGAUUUU